Long non-coding RNA from Acipenser ruthenus (sterlet), 1236 nucleotides. RefSeq lists it as uncharacterized. The record is from RefSeq and is a predicted model, not a curated record. The transcript has 5 exons. Lineage: Eukaryota; Metazoa; Chordata; Actinopteri; Acipenseriformes; Acipenseridae.
UAAGCCUUGUUGACCUGGAAAAGGAACAGGCUGCCUUUAACUAUAACCUUCAUUAUAGCAAAACAUCAGAAGUUUUUAUUUAUUUAUUUAUUUUUUCUCAGUGUCUCCGACUUUCCCCUCUUGAAGUGACAAUGCUUUGUUUACUGGGGCUUGGUGUAAUAUACCAUCUAUACUCCGAAGUUAUAGCUGAUCGAAUAGCCGCAUUUCGGCAAGCAAAGACUGGAUCUGCGGGAGCUGCUGGCACUAUCAUCAGUGGAAGGUGCAGUUCUGGGAGGACAAGAAGUGAAAAUAAUUCGGUAAGAAAAUGCUCUGAUGAUAAAUCUAAAGAAGACUAGAGAAGGAGCGAAGGAAAUGCUUAUUACUGGAGACUUGUUUUCACAUAGGAAGAUGUUUAAACUUGAAUCUGAAAUACACUUUUCCCCAAGGCUUGGGCAUUGGUGGGUGGUGGUUGAAAUGUGAAGGCUUGUACAUCCUACAAUGAACAAUUGCCACAAAGAAUUGUUUCCCGCUGUCAUGCUGGGAAGAUGAAGACCAUCGCUCAGAAGGCAUUUGGAAAUGACACGGUCGUCAUGCCAGCUGGUGGAGCAGGAUACAAGGUUCUUUCUCUUCUGGAUAUACCUGAUGAGAAGCAUGAAAAAGCAGAUGUUAACACCCAUGUAUCACAAAGUGGGAUAUUUGUGCAGGCAAUGCACUGCUUAAAGCACAGGGAGGUCACAUGACCCCUCUCAAAGGCGAGGGAAUUGACUAUGCUGGAUCUGAAGCAAACAAGGGAGGGCUUGUUGCUAGCAUAAACGUGAACCAUGAAGCAUUAGUUGAUUGCCAAACAUGUAACAGAUGGAAUGGCUGUCCGUAGCAAGUUGCCUUAUAUAUAUUCAGCUGAGUUUAUGCUCAGCUCACCGCUACCACCCACGCGCUGACUCGGGAGUGGCAAAGACAAACACACGCUGUCCUCCGAAGUGUGUGCCAUCAGUCGACCUCUUCUUUUCACACUGCAGACCCACCAUGCAGCUUACAGGCAAGCCCGCAAGUGCCCGGCCAGACUACUGGGGUCGCUGGUCCGUGGUGAAUAGACCUAAUGCCAUCACCACCACCGAUGUAAUAGUUCCUAACACAGCAUUCUAACAGCAGUGUUAUUGAAAUAUGGUGUAUAUUUUAUUAUUGGUCAUCUGUCUUGAGGGUUUGGCAAAAUAAUCUAUAAUUUUUGUUGAUUUGAUUAAAUAAAUAAUAUAGCAGUUA